This 377-nucleotide unclassified non-coding RNA is filed under the name uncultured Oligoflexaceae bacterium. Its description in RNAcentral is "contains 16S-23S intergenic spacer region". Lineage: Bacteria; Pseudomonadati; Bdellovibrionota; Oligoflexia; Oligoflexales; Oligoflexaceae. The record is from RNAcentral.
UCCGAUUUAACAUCGGCAGUCUCCCUAGAGUCCCCAACUUAAUGCUGGUAACUAAGAACAGGGGUUGCGCUCGUUGCCGGACUUAACCGAACAUUUCACAACACGAGCUGACGACAGCCAUGCAGCACCUGUCUCCGUGCCCCCGAAGGGGAAGCUGCAUCUCUGCAGCGGUCACGGGAUGUCAAGGCCAGGUAAGGUUCUGCGCGUUGCUUCGAAUUAAACCACAUACUCCACCGCUUGUGCGGGCCCCCGUCAAUUCCUUUGAGUUUUAGCCUUGCGACCGUACUCCCCAGGCGGGAUACUUAAUGCGUGUGCUUUGGUACUCAGAGGGUUAACUCUCCGAACACCUAGUAUCCAUCGUUUACGGCGCGGACUAC